Molecule: long non-coding RNA, 959 nt
Filed under: Durio zibethinus
Lineage: Eukaryota; Viridiplantae; Streptophyta; Magnoliopsida; Malvales; Malvaceae
Description: long non-coding RNA (DZIB_LNC000560)
Source: RNAcentral
UGCAAAUCAAAUAUUAUCAAUUGUAAUGAUUAAAGAAAAUUUAUCAUGUAAUAUAAGCUCUCUCUUCUUCCGUGACCAAUUUUAUUUUUUUCAAUUCUGAAACUUUGUAUUUGUUCAAACAAACAAAGAAUUGGUCAACUUUGAGAGAAAAUAUAUUUUUUAAUUCACAAAUUAAAUGAAUAAUAUUAAUCAUAAUUUAAUUUUUAUAUAUCACUUCAUCAAAUGAUAAAAGUUUCUUUCUAAUCAAAUUAUUUUUCAAAAUAGUAAUUUAAUUAUUUUCGAUUAUCUAAUCAAAUAAAAUUACUGAAUUAUUACCAAGCACGAUUACUUAAUCACCAUAUGUAGAAUAUUAUAAUUUUUAAAUGAUUGACCCAUACCACCACCUUAAAUUUGCAAUCAUGAUAAUUUCAAAUAAAAAAAAAUCUUCAAUGGAUUUGUUUAAAAACAAAAAAUAAAUUUAAAUAAUACAAUAGCUUUAUUCCAAAUUUUCUUGUUUGUUAUUCACAAUUUUUUCCUUGAAAUUUUAACCUUAAUAAUAAUAAACAUAUGAGAAAAUGAAAUGUUCCAAAUUCUAGUGAACUAACUAUAAUUGUGCAAUGAUUUUUGUUUAAUUUCGUCUGAAAUAGUAUCAACCAAACAUAAUAUCCAUUCAUUGUUGUAAAUUAAAAAAAAGAGGUUAUAGUGAUUUGAAUAUUUUGCUUUAUCUCAAAUUACGAUGAACAACAUACUGGGGCACCUGUCAGUUAAAUUUCUUUGAUGCUUAAUAGUUGAAGACAAUCCAUUAAAAAAAAAAAGGGAGUUGAAGACAAGGCUAUCAAAAUUAAAAAUAUUAUAUAUUUAGUUGAAGACAAGUAAAUUGGGGUUCACUUCCAUCGUUUGUUAACCGGUAAAGAGACAAAUAAUUGAUCCUCUCCCAAAAGGAAUUAUGCAAAGUUUAAUUGCACGAGCGGGGAUGAAAU